Molecule: long non-coding RNA, 575 nt
Organism: Eubalaena glacialis (North Atlantic right whale)
Lineage: Eukaryota; Metazoa; Chordata; Mammalia; Artiodactyla; Balaenidae
Exons: 4
Source: RefSeq, a predicted model, not a curated record
AACUUACCCUGGGCCGCACUAGGGAUGCAAAGAUUCAAACAAGGGUCCUUACUCUUGAGGAAGAAGUGAAGUGGGGAAGACAGAAGUAACUACAGAUCUGCCUUCCCCACUUGAAUUCUCGAUAACUUUCAAGAGCCAGGUGAGAAGAGGGCAGUGCUAUAGGAAGAGUGACCACUGGAGAUAUGCCAGAGCGCUAUGGCGAAUGCCACCAAGUCCAUGGGUCUGGCAAUGAUGGGAAAAUGAAGAUGGAUUUCUUGGAGCCCAGCUAACGGGAUAGCCUGUUUUGGAGGAAGCAAGCUGCCAUGUUGUGAGGACACACAAACAGCCCUAUAUUGAGGUCCAUCUGGCAAGAAACUGGGGGCUCCUGCUAACAGCCAACACUGCUUGCCAGUCAUAUGAGUGAGCUGUCUUGGAAGUGAAUUCUUCAGAUGCCGUGACCCUGGCCAACUUCUUGACUGACUCCUUUUGACAGACCCUUGGACAGACCACAUCCAUCCAGCUAAGUCAUUCUUGAAUUCCUAAGUUUUGAGCUAGUUUGUUGCACAGCAAUAGAUAACUAACACAUCUGUUGAAUA